AAGCUCAUACAUUUCUAUAACUAGAAAGUUCUUUUCAAUUUACUACCUCUCUGGGCUAUCAUAUUAACCCGUUAAGGACAGAAUCUUAAAAACUUUGUUUGCACCAAAAUAUUUUAUAAAUCAUUUAUUAUUUGCUUAUUUUCAAAUUGCUUAUAAUCACCUUCUGAAAAAAAUGACACAAACAUCAUUUUCUGUGAAGAAAUUUUCUGGUGUCCAGAUAACAUCUGAAACAUUGAAUAUUUGAUAAAAUUUCCUAGUUUAACGUCCUCCCUCUCAGUAACACCUUUCACUGGAAAUUGUGUAUUUACUCAGUUUAUCCCUACUUGCUUCUCUAACACAAUUAUUAUUCUUUUAGCUUUUCAAAAACCCUGUUUUAAAAUUAUAUUGAUUUAGUGUGUCUGUCUUUAAUAGAGUAGAAAUCCUCAACUGCUUUCCUUUGUAUGUCACCUGUUAAGCGUGAUUGUUAAACUGCAAUAGAACAUCCAGUUAAUUAGAAGAGUCAAGACUCUAUCCUGGCAUCGCCCACCUCCGAAAUUCAGCCACUUCGUGGAUAAAAAGCAACAGCUGUGAGAAAGCAGAGCGCUGCUAACAUUGCACACCUGGGCAAGGCAGGCAAUAAAUGGAAAGACUUUCUCUAUCUCAAUUUGCAGGGGCUUGUGGGGGUGGUGGUUUAAAAGCUGGAAUGUAAUGACCCCACUUGGGAAUCUGAACCAAAAACUCAGGGUUAAAUCCUGCCUUAUGAUACAAGAUGGAUACGGCCAUUAUCAAAGAGAAAGUCUGCUGAGCACCAGGCCAGAGCACAUCCUUGGGGAGGAGAGAGAGGCUGCCUCCUAUAGCAUUACUGCAGGUGCCAGCCACAGAGUAACUCCAUUCUCUUCUGGGUAGACCCAAGCUGGACCUACCAGAAGACUAUUUCACCUGAGGAACCAAAGGCACUCACUCCACAUACGCCUGACGCAGCGGGAGCAGAUUCGGGCAAUUACAAUCAAGUCAGGGCACACGCCGCGGCGGAGCAACACGGGCAUGAUGAGGAUACUGAUGAGGCACUUAUCGAAAACCCCGCAUCAUCCACACUCAUCAGCCACAACAUGUCACCCCAAAUGAGGCAUCAGCUGCCUUCAAAAGGCUCAUUGCACAGUGUUUACCGCUUCCCUCGGACCCACUUUUGAUUUUACGGUCAGAGCUGGGUUCAAACAGCAGCUGUCUGGCAAAGACAGGUCUGCGGCUUCCAGCAGCUUCCCCCAGAGUCCUGGGGCUUUGUCUGGAGAGCUUUGGGGAGCAGGGCCCGGCAGGGCGAGGGGACGCGGGAAGGCAGAGAAGCGUCCAGUUCCGUUUCUCGCAAAGAGGAAUUUCUUUCCCAGAAGCGGCCCUUGAUUAAUUUCAAGCGCUAGCGCACAGUGGUGACAUAAUGGGGGUGGGGGAGGGGAGCGAAAGAGGGAGCCUUUCACAGAUCUCCUUAAAAUAGUAACAGGGUGGGUGGGACCUCUCACGCAGACACAAGUCUCAGAAGGGUCAAUCCCUUUGGAAAAGACAGCUCCAACCAGGAGAGCCGUUCAAGUGGUAAUUUUUAAUUCUUUCAUCAUCAACUCAUUCUUGGGUUGUUGGGGGGGCAGGGAGGCAUUUAUUAGCAAUUUAGGAGGCCUUUAUUUCAAACACCCUGUUUUUCUGCUAUAAAAGGAAGUGGAUAUAUUCCUAGUAAUACUCCUUAAAACUAUUCUUUGUUGCUUUGGGUUAAUGCAACUUGAAGCUAAACACUUGGGGGGAUCUAUUUGCUUACACUGAAAAUAAAAGAACGUGAA
RNAcentral lists this long non-coding RNA (1799 nucleotides) under Equus caballus (horse). RNAcentral describes it as "lncRNA (ENSECAG00000056200.1)". Lineage: Eukaryota; Metazoa; Chordata; Mammalia; Perissodactyla; Equidae. The record is from RNAcentral.